GAUGAACGCUGGCGGCGUGCCUAAUACAUGCGAGUCGAGCGAACAGACGAGGAGCUUGCUCCUCUGACGUUAGCGGCGGACGGGUGAGUAACACGUGGAUAACCUACCUAUAAGACUGGGAUAACUUCGGGAAACCGGAGCUAAUACCGGAUAAUAUAUUGAACCGCAUGGUUCAAUAGUGAAAGACGGUUUUGCUGUCACUUAUAGAUGGAUCCGCGCCGCAUUAGCUAGUUGGUAAGGUAACGGCUUACCAAGGCAACGAUGCGUAGCCGACCUGAGAGAGUGAUCGGCCACACUGGAACUGAGACACGGUCCAGACUCCUACGGGAGGCAGCAGUAGGGAAUCGGCCGCAAUGGGCGAAAGCCUGACGGAGCAACGCCGCGUGAGUGAUGAAGGUCUUCGGAUCGUAAAGCUCUGUUAUUAGGGAAGAACAAAUGUGGAAGUAACUAUGCACGUCUUGACGGUACCUAAUCAGAAAGCCACGGCUAACUACGUG
RNAcentral lists this ribosomal RNA (497 nucleotides) under uncultured bacterium. RNAcentral's name for it is "partial 16S ribosomal RNA". It matches the Rfam family "Bacterial small subunit ribosomal RNA", at positions 28 to 507 of the family's 1533-position model. The record is from RNAcentral.